This 822-nucleotide ribosomal RNA is filed under the name uncultured bacterium. RNAcentral's name for it is "bacterial SSU rRNA". It matches the Rfam family "Bacterial small subunit ribosomal RNA", at positions 603 to 1417 of the family's 1533-position model. The record is from RNAcentral.
UCUGGNUUAACUGGGGGCUUGCGGUGGGUACGGNCCGGCUUGAGUGCGGUAGGGGAGACUGGAACUCCUGGUGUAGCGGUGGAAUGCGCAGAUAUCAGGAAGAACACCGGUGGCGAAGGCGGNUCUCUGGGCCGUUACUGACGCUGAGGAGCGAAAGCGUGGGGAGCGAACAGGAUUAGAUACCCUGGUAGUCCACGCCGUAAACGUUGGGCACUAGGUGUGGGGGGCCUUUUCCGGGUCUUCCGCGCCGUAGCUAACGCAUUAAGUGCCCCGCCUGGGGAGUACGGCCGCAAGGCUAAAACUCAAAGGAAUUGACGGGGGCCCGCACAAGCGGCGGAGCAUGCGGAUUAAUUCGAUGCAACGCGAAGAACCUUACCAAGGCUUGACAUGUGCCGGUCGGCUCCGGAGACGGGGCUUCCUCCUUGUGGGGCCGGUUCACAGGUGGUGCAUGGUUGUCGUCAGCUCGUGUCGUGAGAUGUUGGGUUAAGUCCCGCAACGAGCGCAACCCUUGUCCCGUGUUGCCAGCACGUUGUGGUGGGGACUCGCGGGAGACUGCCGGGGUCAACUCGGAGGAAGGUGGGGAUGACGUCAAAUCAUCAUGCCCCUUAUGUCUUGGGCUUCACGCAUGCUACAAUGGCCGGUACAGAGGGCUGCGAUACCGUGAGGUGGAGCGAAUCCCUUAAAGCCGGUCUCAGUUCGGAUCGGUGUCUGCAACUCGACACCGUGAAGUUGGAGUCGCUAGUAAUCGCAGAUCAGCAACGCUGCGGUGAAUACGUUCUCGGGCCUUGUACACACCGCCCGUCACGUCAUGAAAGUCGGCAA